Balaenoptera musculus (blue whale) is the source of this 552-nucleotide long non-coding RNA. RefSeq lists it as uncharacterized. The transcript is spliced from 3 exons. NCBI's taxonomy places the organism in Eukaryota, Metazoa, Chordata, Mammalia, Artiodactyla, Balaenopteridae. The record is from RefSeq and is a predicted model, not a curated record.
GCAAACACAGAGCUGACAGGAUCAUCCACUGUAUCAGGAGACUGUAAAACAGGGACGGGGAGAAAGCAGUCUCUUGGGUAGUUUCUGUGCUCCUUUAACAUGGGAAGAGAAGAAGGGCAAACAAACUCUGGGGUAGUCUCUGCCCAGCUUGGUUUGCUUUCUGCUUCUGAGGGAAAAGGAGUGCUGGCUGGACUCUUGCAAACCAGCAGGAGAGAAGCACGUGGAUGGCAUUAUAGCUCUUAUUCAAGGAUUCUCAUUUGAAAGGCACCUACAGAAAAACUCUAUUUCCCAGGGACCAGAUGCCUCUGAACUUAAGGAACAGGUGUGGGCGUUUCAGUUUGCUUGUUCGCCUCAGAGUCAUUUUGAUUGAAGUUCAUGAUGACAGCAAACAGAUCUACUGUGGCAGUAGCCAAGCUUUGAUGCUUGCUUUGAUGCUAUUGUUCUAGCAAGACUUUUUUUUUUAAAUUUUUCAAGAUAACCCUAUUACAUCCCAUGUAGAUUUAUUGUUAUGCUGCACAAUUGUAUAAUAUAUACUCCUCAGUUUCCAAAAAU